CUGCUCCUACGGGACGCAGCAGUGAGGAAUAUUGGUCAAUGGGCUUACGCCUGAACCAGCCAAGUAGCGUGAAGGAUGACUGCCCUAUGGGUUGUAAACUUCUUUUAUAUGGGAAUAAAGUGCAGUAUGUAUACUGCUUUGCAUGUACCUUAUGAAUAAGGAUCGGCUAACUCCGUGCCAGCAGCCGCGGUAAUACGGAGGAUCCGAGCGUUAUCCGGAUUUAUUGGGUUUAAAGGGAGCGUAGGCGGGUUGUUAAGUCAGUUGUGAAAGUUUGCGGCUCAACCGUAAAAUUGCAGUUGAUACUG
Molecule: ribosomal RNA, 305 nt
Filed under: uncultured bacterium
Lineage: Bacteria
Description: bacterial SSU rRNA
Rfam family: Bacterial small subunit ribosomal RNA
Source: RNAcentral